Molecule: unclassified non-coding RNA, 244 nt
Filed under: uncultured fungus
Lineage: Eukaryota; Fungi
Description: sequence contains ITS1, 5.8S rRNA gene
Rfam family: 5.8S ribosomal RNA (bases 196-244)
Source: RNAcentral
UCUUCGUUGGUGAACCAGCGGCGGGAUCAUUACAGAGUUUCUAACUCCCAAACCCAUGUGAACUUACCAUUGUUGCCUCGGCGGAGCCUACCCUGUAGCUACCCUGUAGGGUGGUUACCCUGUAUCGCCCCGCCGGUGGAUUUUCAAACUCUUGUUAUUUUUUGUAAUCUGAGCGUCUUAUUUUAAAUAAGUCAAAACUUUCAACAACGGAUCUCUUGGUUCUGGCAUCGAUGAAGAACGCAGC